Molecule: ribosomal RNA, 265 nt
Filed under: uncultured bacterium
Lineage: Bacteria
Description: partial 16S ribosomal RNA
Rfam family: Bacterial small subunit ribosomal RNA
Source: RNAcentral
GACAGAGGUGCCGAGCGUUAGGCGGAAUCACUGGGCUUAAAGCGUGUGUAGGCGGAUCGUUAAGUGCCUUGUGAAAUCCCACGCUCAACCGUGGAACUGCUGGGCAUACGUGCCGAUCUUGAGCCCACUUAGGGGCAACCCGGAAUCAAAGCGGUGGGAGCGGAUGGAAAUGCGGUAGAAUAUCGUUUGGAACGCCAAUGGUUGAAAACAGGUUGCUAGGGAGUGUGGCUGACGCUGAGACACGAAGACCAGGGGAGCGAACGGG